RNAcentral lists this ribosomal RNA (488 nucleotides) under uncultured Acidobacteriota bacterium. RNAcentral's name for it is "bacterial SSU rRNA". It matches the Rfam family "Bacterial small subunit ribosomal RNA", at positions 224 to 704 of the family's 1533-position model. The record is from RNAcentral. Lineage: Bacteria; Pseudomonadati; Acidobacteriota.
GAGGAGCCUGCGGCGGAUUAGCUAGUUGGUAGGGUAACGGCUUACCAAGGCGACGAUCUGUAGCCGGCCUGAGAGGGCGGUCGGCCACACUGACACUGACAUACGGGUCAGACUCCUACGGGAGGCAGCAGUCGGGAAUUUUGGGCAAUGGGCGAAAGCCUGACCCAGCAACGCCGCGUGAAGGACGAAAUCCCUCGGGAUGUAAACUUCGCAAGAAUGGGAAGAAUUAGUAGGGGACAAUACCCCCUAUGAUGACGGUACCAUUUGUAAGCUCCGGCUAACUCCCUGGCAGCAGCCGCGGUAAAAUACGGGGGGAGCAAGCGUUGUUCGGAUUUACUGGGCGUAAAGGGCGCGUAGGCGGCCAGCGCAAGUCGGUUGUGAAAUCUCCGGGCUUAACUCGGAAAGGUCAACCGAUACUGCGCGGCUAGAGUGCGGAAGGGGCAACUGGAAUUCUCGGUGUAGCGGUGAAAUGCGUAGAUAUCGAGAGG